Molecule: ribosomal RNA, 775 nt
Filed under: uncultured Neocallimastigales
Lineage: Eukaryota; Fungi; Neocallimastigomycota; Neocallimastigomycetes; Neocallimastigales
Description: partial large subunit ribosomal RNA
Rfam family: Eukaryotic large subunit ribosomal RNA
Source: RNAcentral
UAGAUGCGAGAGUAGAGCAUAUCAAUAAGCGGAGGAAAAGAAACUAACAUAGGAUUCCCUUAGUAACGGCGAGUGAAGCGGGAAGAGCUCAAAUUUGAAAUCUUCAAGGUUCUACCUUGACGAAUUGUAGUUUAUAGAAGUGUUUUCUGUUAGUGGAGUGGCAAAAGUUCUUUGGAAUAGGACAUCAUAGAGGGUGAGAAUCCCGUAUUUGGUCAUUCCUCCUAGCGUUGUGAUACACUUUCAACGAGUCGGAUUGUUUGGGAAUGCAGUCCAAAAUGGGUGGUAAAUUUCAUCUAAAGCUAAAUAUUGGCGAGAGACCGAUAGCGAACAAGUACCGUGAGGGAAAGAUGAAAAGAACUUUGAAAAGAGAGUUAAACAGUACGUGAAAUUGUCAAAAGGGAAGCGUUUGACACCAGUGUUGUUUUUCCGAAAAUCAAUUACGAAUGUUUUAUUUUUGAGAAGUUGUGACUUCAUCGGCUUGCUUCUCUCUUUAUGAAACUUUCUUAAUGCACUUUUCGGUUAACAAGUCAACAUCAAUUUCUUUUGUUGUAAAAGGGUAUGAGGAAGGUGGCUUUCUUUUCGGAGAAAGCGUUUAUAGCCUUUGACUUCUGCAGUCGGAGGGAUUGAGGUCUGCAGCGUAGAUCCUUCGGGGCUAGAUACAUUUGUGCCAAGCUAUAGCCUUUCAUAGACAACUUGUUGACUAUGAUCAGUCAUGUAGCUUACUCGCUUAUGCUAUUUUACCUACGCUUAGGAUGUUGACGCGCGUGUGUGCGUG